RNAcentral lists this ribosomal RNA (330 nucleotides) under uncultured eukaryote. Its description in RNAcentral is "partial 18S ribosomal RNA". It matches the Rfam family "Eukaryotic small subunit ribosomal RNA", at positions 1470 to 1796 of the family's 1831-position model. The record is from RNAcentral.
CCCUUAGAUGUUCUGGGCCGCACGCGCGCUACACUGAUGCAUUCAACGAGUCUAAAACCUGGUCUGAUAGGGCUGGGUAAUCUUUUGAAUGUGCAUCGUGAUUGGGAUAGAUGAUUGCAAUUCUUCAUCUUCAACGAGGAAUGCCUAGUAAACGCAAGUCAUCAGCUUGCAUUGAUUACGUCCCUGCCCUUUGUACACACCGCCCGUCGCUCCUACCGAUUGAAUGUUCCGAUGAAUACCAUGGACUGAGAGUAUGAAUGGGUUCGCCUAUUUCUGCUUCUCGGGAAGUGGAGUAAAUCUUAACAUUUAGAGGAGGGAGAAGUCGUAACA